Molecule: ribosomal RNA, 253 nt
Filed under: uncultured bacterium
Lineage: Bacteria
Description: partial 16S ribosomal RNA
Rfam family: Bacterial small subunit ribosomal RNA
Source: RNAcentral
UACGUAGGGAGCAAGCGUUGUCCGGAAUCAUUGGGCGUAAAGCGCGCGUAGGUGGCUUCGUAAGUCCGUUGUGAAAGUCAAAGGCUCAACCUUUGAAAGCCGAUGGAUACUGUGGAGCUAGAGUACGGAAGAGGCGAGUGGAAUUCCUGGUGUAGCGGUGGAAUGCGCAGAUAUCAGGAGGAACACCAACAGCGAAGGCAGCUCGCUGGGACGUUACUGACACUGAGGCGCGAAAGCGUGGGGAGCGAACAGG